AGGUAGGUGACUGAGUGGUCUAAUGCGACAGACUAGAAAUCUAUCUCCUUCAGAAGCGCCUGUUCGAACCGGGCCCUGCGAG
Non-coding RNA from Xylaria intraflava, 82 nucleotides. Lineage: Eukaryota; Fungi; Ascomycota; Sordariomycetes; Xylariales; Xylariaceae. The record is from the annotation of a GenBank genome assembly.